GAUCCUGGCUUAGGAUUAACGCUGGCGGCGUGCCUAAUACAUGCAAGUCGAAUGGUAGCAAUACCAUGGCGAACGGGUGAGUAACACGUAGGUAACCUGUCUUUAAGCCGAGGAUAACCAUUGGAAACGAUGGAUAAUACUGGAUAGGACAUUUGAAGGCAUCUUUAGAUGUUUAAAGAUUUAUCACUUAGAGAGGGGCCUGCGGCGCAUUAGCUAGUUGGUGAGGUGAAGGCUUACCAAGGCGAUGAUGCGUAGCCGGACUGAGAGGUUGAACGGCCACAAUGGAACUGAGAACGGUCCAUACUCCUACGGGAGGCAGCAGUAGGGAAUUUUCGGCAAUGGGCGGAAGCCUGAACCCGAGCAACGCCGCGUGAACGAAGAAGUAUUUCGGUAUGUAAAGUUCUUUUAUUAGGGACGAAAAGACAGAUUGACGGUACCUAAUGAAUAAGCUCCGGCUAACUACGUGCCAGCAGCAGC
RNAcentral lists this ribosomal RNA (477 nucleotides) under uncultured bacterium. Its description in RNAcentral is "bacterial SSU rRNA". It matches the Rfam family "Bacterial small subunit ribosomal RNA", at positions 15 to 518 of the family's 1533-position model. The record is from RNAcentral.